This 490-nucleotide ribosomal RNA is filed under the name uncultured bacterium. RNAcentral describes it as "partial 16S ribosomal RNA". It matches the Rfam family "Bacterial small subunit ribosomal RNA", at positions 29 to 507 of the family's 1533-position model. The record is from RNAcentral.
AGUGAACGCUGGCGGCAGGCCUAACACAUGCAAGUCGAACGGCAGCACAAGAGAGCUUGCUCUCUGGGGGGCGAGUGGCGGACGGGUGAGGAAUGCAUCGGAAUCUGCCCAUUUGUGGGGGAUAACCUCGGGAAACCGGGACUAAUACCGCAUACGACCUACGGGUGAAAGCAGGGGAGCUUCGGACCUUGCGCAGAUGGAUGAGCCGAUGCCGGAUUAGCUAGUUGGAGGGGUAAAGGCCCACCAAGGCGACGAUCCGUAGCUGGUCUGAGAGGAUGAGCGCCCACAUUGGAACUUGGACACGGCCCAGACUCCUACGGGAGGCAGCAGUGUGGAAUAUUAGACAGAGGGCGCAAGCCUGACCCAGCCAUGCCGCGUGUGUGACGAAGGCCUUCCGUUUGUAAAGCCCUUUUGUUGGGAAAGAAAAGCUGCCGGUUAAUACCCGGUUGUCAUGACGGUACCCAAAGAAUAAGCACCGGCUAACUUCGUG